Molecule: long non-coding RNA, 840 nt
Organism: Ictalurus punctatus (channel catfish)
Lineage: Eukaryota; Metazoa; Chordata; Actinopteri; Siluriformes; Ictaluridae
Source: Ensembl
AGGUAGGCAUUGGCAGAGAGAUAUCCAUGUACACACUUGCAUACACAUUCUCACCUGACCAAAGACUGGACUUGGUCUAAUAACUGGAUCGGGAUGACUGUUUCACUGUGAGUCUCAGUGGUUAUCACAGGAUGAAGAUGAAGAGACCAGCUCUGCUGUAACAGAGAUACAAAAAAAAGAUUCUGGGAGGCCCACAGAGGUAUAACAUAUAAUGUAUUCCCUUUCUGCAAUGUGAUCCCUUUCUCAUUGUUUAUUAUGGCUGGGGAUUCCUGUACAGAGGAGGGUCCAUCUACCUCCACACAGAAUCUUGGAAGUAAAAAAAAAUUGUUUGCAGUUGUCCUGAUUAAAAAUAUUUGGUCUGUGUAUUUAUUACAGACAUUUAUGAUAUCAAUCAUAUUGGAUUAUCAUUCUGUCUUCCUAGCUGCCUGCAAAGAAGCUGUACAAGGUACAUCUUCAAAUGCAAAUGAUAAAAAUUGGCAUGGAGAUGGAACUUCUGCAACUUUAAAUGGAGGGAAAAAGGCUAACAUAAAAAGGACACUAUUCAAAAGUGCACUCCAUGCUCCGUCAGCUCUCUGAAACAAACUAACCUGGAACAUAACCUGCUUCAGAUAGUAAGUUGCUGUGGCUACUUGCAUACCCUGAAAAUUUCCUCCAUUUUUUGGAACAGACAUUUGAGGUUAUUUGUUUACUCUGAGUAAACUUACCUAGCCCCACACAAAUUUAUGGAGAUACUAGAGAUCCAGAUCCUUUCUGCCUCUGGAUGGAGCUCAAAUCUUCUCUAAUUCCAGACUGCUGGAACUACGGCUGGCCAUACAGACUUCAUAUAAAUCCAUAAUGAAC